UGGCGCACGGGUGCGUAACGCGUAACCAACCUACCCGAAUCUGGGGGAUAGCCCGCCGAAGGGCGGAUUAAUACCGCAUAAAACUGCAGCCUGGCAUCAGGUAACAGUUGAAGAUUUAUUGGAUUCGGAUGGGGUUGCGUGCCAUUAGCUAGUUGGCGGGGUAACGGCCCACCAAGGCGACGAUGGCUAGGGGAGCUGAGAGGCUGGUCCCCCACACGGGCACUGAGAUACGGGCCCGACUCCUACGGGAGGCAGCAGUAGGGAAUAUUGGGCAAUGGGCGAGAGCCUGACCCAGCCAUGCCGCGUGCAGGAUGAAGGCUUUCUGAGUCGUAAACUGCUUUUACCAGGGAAGAAAAAAGGGGAUGCGUCCUCUACUGACGGUACCUGGUGAAUAAGCACCGGCUAACUCCGUGCCAGCAGCCGCGGUAAUACGGAGGGUGCAAGCGUUGUCCGGAUUUAUUGGGUUUAAAGGGUGCGUAGGCGGCUGAUUAAGUCUGGGGUGAAAGCCCGUUGCUCAACAACGGAACUGCCCUGGAAAC
RNAcentral lists this ribosomal RNA (539 nucleotides) under uncultured Hymenobacter sp. RNAcentral's name for it is "bacterial SSU rRNA". It matches the Rfam family "Bacterial small subunit ribosomal RNA", at positions 96 to 633 of the family's 1533-position model. Lineage: Bacteria; Pseudomonadati; Bacteroidota; Cytophagia; Cytophagales; Hymenobacteraceae. The record is from RNAcentral.